Long non-coding RNA from Cygnus atratus (black swan), 2285 nucleotides. RefSeq lists it as uncharacterized. The transcript is spliced from 3 exons. The record is from RefSeq and is a predicted model, not a curated record. NCBI's taxonomy places the organism in Eukaryota, Metazoa, Chordata, Aves, Anseriformes, Anatidae.
AGGUGAUAGUGUUAUGAAAAUGAUUGGGAAAUCAGAAAGGGGACAUUUCAAGGUACAGCAUACGAAUGGACAGGUCAUGAGCUCUGGAUAGAAGCUGAUAUGCAACCUCUGACACUGGGCUCCCAUGCUGUUUCUUAUGUCACAAAUGAUGACAAUUGCCAGAAACUGUGACUUGCAGCAGCAAGAGACUCUGCAAUAUUUACUUUAAUUGCAUUCUGUAUUUUCAGAUAUAAUUUACAGUUUGAAAGUGUUGAAAAAUGAGUGUCCUGACAUGAGCUCUCAGUAUCCUGUCGCAAGCCACUGGGAACAGAAAAGUUUUUCUUUCAAAAUUCAACAAAAACAGUCCCUUACUGUGUGACAGAAGCAAGCUGCACCAAACCUGCCAAUGAUUCAGCAUGUUUUUCUAAAUUCAAACUGGUCCGCAGCCUAAAGUUUGCAGCAGGGAUUCAGACCCUGCAGGGAAACACCAGAGGCUCAAGCCUUUCUCCCAGCAUCCGUCAUGGUGCCAGGUAGGGAACCAAAUGAGUAGCAAAACACUCUCUGUACUAAAAUAGCAUAACAAAUGGCUUCAGGGCACACAGAGAGAGGCCAAUCCACAGUAUUAAUUAGCCUGAAAGUAAUUAGCAAAAUAUUGCUAAAAAAAUUGUAAGUGGCAUAAUUGAGAACUGGAUGAGUUUUUGAACUCAGCAAUAUGAAAACCCAUGUGCAGUAACUGUGAAUUUGAUGCACAUUGGGAGGUUUCAGUGACAAGAAGACUAGUUUUGACUGGAAGAGAGAAACAUAAUAUAAAAUAUAAUUUGCUGUAGAAAUUAAAGGCUCUGGAUGUAAUGUAAAUUCUUCCAUCAAAUUCAGAUCUACGCAAGACAGAGAAGGAAGGGACAUUACUCUUUACUAGAAUUAGUCAUUUGAAUUGCAGUGAACAUUUUUGUAAAUUUAGUUGUUUUGGAGUGGAUCAUUCAUUUUUCAAAUGUCUUCAUUAUUCAAAUUUUUUUUGACAAAUAUUUAUGAGACUAGAUUUCAGCAUAUGGAUCAUUCAUGAAGAGCCUAUUCUUAGUUUUACUUCCCUUUACUUUUACUUUAUUUACGUACCACUUAAUAAAAACAUCGUAUGAGUCCCUAUCAUCAACCAUUUUUCUCAAAUGGUCUUAUUGCCUGUUUUGCAAACUCUCUAAAUGUCAAACAUUGUCCUUUUUUCUAUUUCUUUUAUGUUUAUAUUACUAGCAUAUGCAAUUUCAGUCUGGUAGUCUCUUGAGAAAUGGCUAUCUGUGGAAAAGUUGUCCAAACUGCACAGUGUAUUGCAACCAGUUUUUCAACAUAUUAAUUCAAUAUAAGUAAACAAUGAAACACCUAUUACAUCAAAUAAAUUAAUUUGACUUGUAACUCCUUACUGGGAAGUGCUUAGAAAGCUUCAUUCUUCCAGGCCCAAUGCUGAGUUAAGGUGGUAGUUCUUGUCAAAAGCAUAACAGGAUUUGUUCUGCUUUAUAGCUCCUGGAAUCCUUUGUGACUGCAUAUAAUAGUAAAUGGUUUCAGCCAAAUAUGACACUAAUUUUUUGAAACCUAAACUGAAAUAUGAUACAGCAACAAUACUUAGGAAGAAUCAUAUACCUUCUUUCAAGCAAUAGAGGCAUUUACUAGGUUCUUACAGAAAGUGAUUUCAUUUUCAGAGUUUUUGUCUGGGAAGUAGCAGAAUUCCUCAAGGCACAGCUGUUAGCUUUCCAUGUAAAACCUGGAAAGCUAUGAUGUACUCAAAUGCUUUGACAUUGUGUCACAUUGUAAAUGCUCAAACUAUGAGAUCUAAAACAAUAUUUGGACUGGAAUAUACUGAGAAAGAUAUUUAGAUAUAAGAGCUUGAUUUUUUUUCUAUUGAAAAGUAGAGAGGGUCUAUUUGUACAGUUUAUAUGUGGGGUUACAUUUGGGUUUGAGUACCUUAAUUAUUUGAACGUUGUGAAGUUUGGUUUAAACCUAACCUAAAAACAAGUCAAAUUAACUAUUUUUUCUAUGCAUGUAUAUUAUUUAUAUGAGAUUUAUCCACUCUUCCAUGAUAGAGAUUUUGUUUGCUCUUUUGUAAUUUUAAAGGAACAUGAUUUUUAAAUACAGUAGCCAGUCAGUAAUUAUAUGCAAUUUUAAGCUUUGGGAGGACAUUUUUUGAUGAAUAAAAGCCUUAACAUGUUUAUGUUAUCCAUGCUAAUGUACAAGGCAUCUACUUAACUCAACUACUGCCUACCACCUGUGACCAAACAAUGCCAAAACGGACACAACCAAGAAAUAAUAAUAAUAAUUUAAAA